This 3486-nucleotide long non-coding RNA is filed under the name Nicotiana benthamiana. RNAcentral's name for it is "long non-coding RNA (NBEN_LNC014150)". Lineage: Eukaryota; Viridiplantae; Streptophyta; Magnoliopsida; Solanales; Solanaceae. The record is from RNAcentral.
CCUCUUUCGUCCACUCUUUGCUCAUCUGAUCCACCUAUAAAAGAUGAAAAUAAAUGAUUUAGUUAAUUUUUUAAAAGAAUUUAAUAUCGAGUAUACAAUCUAAGUAGUACCUUGAAACUUCAAGUGCAAUCCAGCUCAAAGAAGUCAAUAAAGUUUCGCAAAUUCAAAGUUGUCCCAGAGAUGAAGUAAAGGAUCUACAUAUGGCCAGUUAGAAGAGAGAUCACCGAUUUGAAAUUCAUCCCUAAAUAUGCCAGCUCUUAUAACGAAAAAUAACUUAAAUCAAAUUUUCCAACCCAGAGAUGAACUACAGGCCCUACAUGUGGCAAGUUAAAGAAGAUUAUUGACUGCAAUCAAAAUGGUGUUGUAAUAUUUAACAAUGCAAUUCAGAUCAAGGAAGCCAAUAGAACUUCGCAACUGGAAAUUCAAAGCACUCCAGAGCUGCAAAUUCAAAGCAGUCCCAGAGAUGAACUAAGUGCUGGAAUAAGGCAACAUUUAAAAAUAUAUUAACCUGACAAAAAAUAAUACAUCAUAAUGGACAAAUAUACUUUUACAACCUGAAAACUUCAAUGUUGGCCUUAUUAUAAGGAUUAUAUGCAAGUUUUGGGCUGAAGCUUGGACAUUCCUGCAAGAGAAAAAAAGUUUGAAACUAAUUAGCCCCCUUCAAAUUAAAAGCUGUAUGUAAAUUGAGUUGGCCAUGUUAUCACUGCAGGCUUUAUUUUCUAUAUGGAACCAGAGACUUGAUGCAAAUAUUCUGUACCUAAAAUUAAACAUAAGCAAUGAUACAGUAUCUAAAGGCUCAUUAUAGUUCUACCAUGGGAACUCAACCUUCAAUUGGGACAAUAAUCAGUUUUGCAGGCACUUCAAGGACCAUUAUUUAUUACUUUCGUACCACAGGAACAACAAGAAUAGAAACGAUAUCGCUUCAAUUUACAAGAGGAUAAGUGAUUACCAUAUGUAAAGGACUUCUAUAUAAUUAACUAAAACCCACAACUUUCAUUCACACAUUAAAAAUGUAUCUGGAAAAAGAAAAACAAGUCCAACGACAUAGUUAUUGGCAUAAUCAAACAAACAACUUAUUGUCACUUGAAACAUGUCUCGAAGAAAGCUCUUAAGUAAAGUAGAUCAAAUUUCAUAAAACAUUUGUCUUAACUAAUGUCACGAAGAUUUACAGGCAAGUUGGUUGAAAGCUUAACAGUGGAAGUAUUUGGUAGCUAAUGUUUAAGAGGCAUUGGAAGAUUGAUGCAUUGGAAGCGUUGUAACAGAAACUGAACAUGAUUGCUUUGGUUGGAAGUGGAGAUUGCUUAUCAUCAGAGCAACCCCUCUUGUCUAUUUUGAAAAAAAUAUGAACUUAUAACUUUAGGCUUCAGUAUCUUCAGCCACGAACAGUAAGAAACAUAUAUUCAUAAUAUUAAACGAUGACAAAGACAUUGUAUUUCAGUGAAAUGUUUGUCUAUGCCCAAUAGUACAAAAGGAAAAAAAUAUUUGUUGUUAGACUUGAGAGUCUUUGACCAUGAUUAGUAAGAUGUAGGAUAUAUACCGUUCUUUUUCAUAUAGUAAAUAUGCCUAUAGCUAAAAACAAUAGUAUAAAAUAAUAAGGAAGCAGACAUAUUUCCGUGAAAUGUUUGUGGUGUUUCAGAGUGCAAAAAGGGAUGAUACUGGUUAGGAGGCUUGAGAUUGUUUUCAGCCACAAACAGUAAAAUAGAUAUCUUCCAGUAAAAUUGACAAAGAAGACAUAUUUCGUCUCAAAGUUUGCCAUGUCAAUAUGUCUGUGACUAAUCUAUAUUGUAUUUGACUUCUUUUUUCUUGCUUUCUAGGUUGAUAUAGGAACUCAAAUUGUAUGAACUUUAAUAUAAAUGCACCUGUAGAUAAACAUUAUAAGAUGAAGUAAAACUAUCUUCCAAAGUUCCUAGUGACAAUGAUUAUACCGUGAAUCUAAAAAAAUUCCCAAUUUUUAUUAUUGAUAUAUUAUAUGCCACAGAGAUAUCUUAAAGUAAAAACUCCAUUUUGACAUAAGAUCUACCAUUUUGCAAGUAUUUCACUUAAUUUAUGGAAAUAACCUUGCAUUUCAAAUGGUUAUUUCCAUACAUCCAUGUAGUCCAAUCAACACCAAUAUAACAACUCAAGAAAGAGAGUAAAAAAAAGGUCAUGAUACCUCAAGAGAUUUUCCUCUCUGUAUUAUUUUCGGAAAUAAAUUGCCUCUCAGGGAAUACUAGCCUUCACCAUCAUCUAUGUCUGCAUUUGAAGAUCCAUCUUCGUAGAAUUAAUUAGUCAUUUUAAUUUCUUUUUAAUCACUUUCUUCUUCUCUCGUAGCCUCUUCAUCAACUACACUGGUAAUAUAAGUUUUGGCAUGCCAAGAAAUAUGAUAUAUUUGUACAGAUUAAUACAUAGUAGUGCAAAAAGCAAGUAACUUACUGGUGGUAUUUAACACCCUCUCUGCUCCUUCGGGGUAGAAGUAAGGUCUGCAUACACACUACCCUCCCCAGACCCCAUUAGUGGAAUUUCACUAGGUCGUCGUUGUUGUUGUUGUAUAAGUGGGUGGAAUCUCCCAUUUAUCGAAACCUCGUUUUUUAGUUUUGGUCUCAUGAAUGAUUAGAUAGAAUGAUCAAUACAAUAAGCUUAAAAUACAAAUGAUCAUGCUAAUAUGCACUCAAUCUUUCUUCAAUUGCAGCAUUAUUUGUAUGCGACACUCAAAGGAAUUCAUUGAGAACUUCUUUCAAACACUUGUGAGCCAAAAAAUUAUAAUACUGCUUCAACAAAUAUGGAGCAGAUUUCCCCCCAAAUGUUUUGAAACAUCAAUUCAAUAUGCUACAAACAUUUCACUCCUAUGUAGUGCCAACAAUUAAAUCUACAGUUAUACCCAUUUACUUCAAAACUUCUCUUGAAAUAGCACAAGGGUAAUAUGUAAUAAUGAAGCAGACAUAAUACAGUGAAAUCCAAGAGCUCAAGAGUGAAAUAUCAAUCAAGCAUACAAGCUUCCAAAUACCAUAAACAGAAUCAGAUGACACACUUGGGAAAUUCCGAUUCUUUUUUCUACCAACACAGUUAGGGGUACCUACUUGGAUAUUAAGCAAAGAAUUUAUUCACCCAUUUAGAGAUAAAUUAGAAAAUAAAAUCUUAAUAAAACAAGAUUUGUAACUUACCCAAGUACAGAGAACAUUGAUGGUCUUACUUCAGCUGGUAGCAGAUACAUGGAUCACAGAGGAAAGGGACUCUUGCACCAUAAAGCACGCCCUUCAAAGAAGGGCAACAUGAAAGAACCAGACCUUGACUCUUCGUCGCUACCACAAUAUUACUUUCCCUAGACUCUGUGAGGUUGAAGAGACGUGCUAGAGCCUUGAAAGAGUGCCUUGCAGGAGUGACUCGCCGGAGGGGUUAGGGUUUCAAGGGGUCGAAGCUACGAGAAGGUAUAUGGAUAUUUUGAUAUGUUCUAAGGUUAAGAGAACAAGUUUUAGGAAUUAAAAAAAAGGCUAGGUGCUAGUAAAAUUG